Molecule: ribosomal RNA, 450 nt
Filed under: uncultured bacterium
Lineage: Bacteria
Description: partial 16S ribosomal RNA
Rfam family: Bacterial small subunit ribosomal RNA
Source: RNAcentral
GUCGAGAAUAAUUCACAAUGGACGAAAGUCUGAUGGUGCAACGCCGCGUGGAGGAUGACGGUCUUCGGAUUGUAAACUCCUGUCAUCCGGGAGUAAGACCUGGCUGUGAAUAGCAGACAGGGUUGAUAGUACCGGAAGAGGAAGGGACGGCUAACUUCGUGCCAGCAGCCGCGGUAAUACGAAGGUCCCGAGCGUUGUUCGGAAUCACUGGGCGUAAAGGGAGCGUAGGCGGCGUGGUAAGUCAGAUGUGAAAUCCCGGGGCUCAACCCCGGAACUGCAUCCGAUACUGCCGUGCUAGAGGAUUGGAGAGGUAGCUGGAAUUCUUGGUGUAGCAGUGAAAUGCGUGGAGAUCAAGAGGAACACUCGUGGCGAAAGCGAGCUACUGGACAAUAUCUGACGCUGAGGCUCGAAGGCCAGGGUAGCGAAAGGGAUUAGAAACCCGAGUAGUCC